GGCUUGUUGUAUUGGUGAAGUUUGUUCUAGGCUUUGUCCGCCUUUUUCUUUCAUUUCGUCGCAACUCGCCGAGCUGUAAAGAGUUUCUUUCUUGGGAACAAUAUUCUCUUCAUAACUUCGCGUUACUUCUAUCCAGCCUCACCGUGCCCAGUGAAGACGAUCGGUGUAAUAUUCUCCGUGGCGUGAGAUAAUGGCGUACCAGACGAAGGCUGCCGGAAACAUUCUACUCUACCAAUCUGAUACAUUUUGUUGCCGUACCAUGGAGCGCCCCGCUACGAAAGCAGGCGGCCUUCUCGUAUGGCAACAAAAUUAUCAGAAAUUUAAGUGGUUGUUUCAUGACGAUGAUCCACAUUACUUUAAGGCGCACGAAUACUGUUAAACAUAGCGAGAAUUCGAAGGAAAAUGAACUAGAUUUGGAACUACACUGACAUGUGAAUUAUGAAAUGAAUUUGUGUGCGCAACUGCUUUCUGAAUUGUGAAGAAGAAAUACAAGAAUUUUAGAAACGAA
This is a long non-coding RNA of Anopheles arabiensis, 508 nucleotides long. RefSeq lists it as uncharacterized. The record is from RefSeq and is a predicted model, not a curated record. The transcript is spliced from 2 exons. Lineage: Eukaryota; Metazoa; Arthropoda; Insecta; Diptera; Culicidae.